CGGCCAGACUCCUACGGGAGGCAGCAGUGGGGGAUAUUGCACAAUGGGGGAAACCCUGAUGCAGCGAUGCCGCGUGUGGGAAGACGGUCCUCUGGAUUGUAAACCACUGUCCCCAGGGACGAAGAUGACGGUACCUGGGGAGGAAGCUCCGGCUAACUACGUGCCAGCAGCCGCGGUAAUACGUAGGGAGCAAGCGUUGUCCGGAAUUACUGGGUGUAAAGGGAGCGUAGGCGGGAUGGCAAGUUGGGUGUUAAAUCUACCGGCUCAACUGGUAGUCGCACUCAAAACUGCUAUUCUUGAGUGAAGUAGAGGCAGGCGGAAUUCCUAGUGUAGCGGUGAAAUGCGUAGAUAUUAGGAGGAACACCAGUGGCGAAGGCGGCCUGCUGGACUGCAACUGACGUUGGGGCUCGAAGGCGUGGGGAGCAAACAGGAUUAGAUACCCCGGUA
This 447-nucleotide ribosomal RNA is filed under the name uncultured bacterium. RNAcentral's name for it is "bacterial SSU rRNA". It matches the Rfam family "Bacterial small subunit ribosomal RNA", at positions 328 to 792 of the family's 1533-position model. The record is from RNAcentral.